RNAcentral lists this ribosomal RNA (161 nucleotides) under uncultured bacterium. RNAcentral's name for it is "partial 16S rRNA". It matches the Rfam family "Bacterial small subunit ribosomal RNA", at positions 358 to 511 of the family's 1533-position model. The record is from RNAcentral.
GGAAUCUUCCACAAUGGGCGAAAGCCUGAUGGAGCAACGCCGCGUGUGUGAUGAAGGGUUUCGGCUCGUAAAACACAGUUGUAAGAGAAGAAUGACAUUGAGAGUAACUGUUCAAUGUGUGACGGUAUCUUACCAGAAAGGAACGGCUAAAUACGUGCCAG